AUGUUGGCUUGUCUUUCAAAUCAUGAAGUGAUUUCAAGCAACUUGACUUUUCUUGAAUUUGAAUCUCAACUUUUACUUCAAUUUAGAAUUCCCAUCUUCUGUCAUCUCGCAAUCAGGGAUCAAUGGCAUAAGAAAAGUAUGAUUUUGGCCAUAACUUGUUCUCUAAUUGUAAAAAAGUGGAAAUGCCCUUUUCACCUUGUGAAGUACGUGUAA
Molecule: non-coding RNA, 213 nt
Organism: Vicia faba (fava bean)
Lineage: Eukaryota; Viridiplantae; Streptophyta; Magnoliopsida; Fabales; Fabaceae
Source: the annotation of a GenBank genome assembly